RNAcentral lists this ribosomal RNA (1553 nucleotides) under Salmonella enterica subsp. enterica serovar Typhimurium. RNAcentral's name for it is "bacterial SSU rRNA". It matches the Rfam family "Bacterial small subunit ribosomal RNA". The record is from RNAcentral. Lineage: Bacteria; Pseudomonadati; Pseudomonadota; Gammaproteobacteria; Enterobacterales; Enterobacteriaceae.
AAAUUGAAGAGUUUGAUCAUGGCUCAGAUUGAACGCUGGCGGCAGGCCUAACACAUGCAAGUCGAACGGUAACAGGAAGCAGCUUGCUGCUUCGCUGACGAGUGGCGGACGGGUGAGUAAUGUCUGGGAAACUGCCUGAUGGAGGGGGAUAACUACUGGAAACGGUGGCUAAUACCGCAUAACGUCGCAAGACCAAAGAGGGGGACCUUCGGGCCUCUUGCCAUCAGAUGUGCCCAGAUGGGAUUAGCUUGUUGGUGAGGUAACGGCUCACCAAGGCGACGAUCCCUAGCUGGUCUGAGAGGAUGACCAGCCACACUGGAACUGAGACACGGUCCAGACUCCUACGGGAGGCAGCAGUGGGGAAUAUUGCACAAUGGGCGCAAGCCUGAUGCAGCCAUGCCGCGUGUAUGAAGAAGGCCUUCGGGUUGUAAAGUACUUUCAGCGGGGAGGAAGGUGUUGUGGUUAAUAACCGCAGCAAUUGACGUUACCCGCAGAAGAAGCACCGGCUAACUCCGUGCCAGCAGCCGCGGUAAUACGGAGGGUGCAAGCGUUAAUCGGAAUUACUGGGCGUAAAGCGCACGCAGGCGGUCUGUCAAGUCGGAUGUGAAAUCCCCGGGCUCAACCUGGGAACUGCAUUCGAAACUGGCAGGCUUGAGUCUUGUAGAGGGGGGUAGAAUUCCAGGUGUAGCGGUGAAAUGCGUAGAGAUCUGGAGGAAUACCGGUGGCGAAGGCGGCCCCCUGGACAAAGACUGACGCUCAGGUGCGAAAGCGUGGGGAGCAAACAGGAUUAGAUACCCUUGGUAGUCCACGCCGUAAACGAUGUCUACUUGGAGGUUGUGCCCUUGAGGCGUGGCUUCCGGAGCUAACGCGUUAAGUAGACCGCCUGGGGAGUACGGCCGCAAGGUUAAAACUCAAAUGAAUUGACGGGGGCCCGCACAAGCGGUGGAGCAUGUGGUUUAAUUCGAUGCAACGCGAAGAACCUUACCUGGUCUUGACAUCCACAGAAGAAUCCAGAGAUGGAUUUGUGCCUUCGGGAACUGUGAGACAGGUGCUGCAUGGCUGUCGUCAGCUCGUGUUGUGAAAUGUUGGGUUAAGUCCCGCAACGAGCGCAACCCUUAUCCUUUGUUGCCAGCGAUUAGGUCGGGAACUCAAAGGAGACUGCCAGUGAUAAACUGGAGGAAGGUGGGGAUGACGUCAAGUCAUCAUGGCCCUUACGACCAGGGCUACACACGUGCUACAAUGGCGCAUACAAAGAGAAGCGACCUCGCGAGAGCAAGCGGACCUCAUAAAGUGCGUCGUAGUCCGGAUUGGAGUCUGCAACUCGACUCCAUGAAGUCGGAAUCGCUAGUAAUCGUGGAUCAGAAUGCCACGGUGAAUACGUUCCCGGGCCUUGUACACACCGCCCGUCACACCAUGGGAGUGGGUUGCAAAAGAAGUAGGUAGCUUAACCUUCGGGAGGGCGCUUACCACUUUGUGAUUCAUGACUGGGGUGAAGUCGUAACAAGGUAACCGUAGGGGAACCUGCGGUUGGAUCACCUCCUUACCUUAAAGAA